UAAACAUGCAGAGGCUUUAAUUAAACCACGUUGACGUUAGCUUUCCACAAAUGAUUUUGAAGAAGAGGAAGAUGCGGUCGAUGGGAGAAAGUACUCUCUGUGAAUGACAGUUUUGGAUUGUAUGCUGAAGAAGUGUGGAUUCUCCUUGAAAGAACAUAUUCCAGCUGAUAGUCAUGAUCUUCAUGCAAAAAUCAAAGCUACUGUUGUGAGAACAUACAUAUACUGCCAAGUCAUUUCUGCUUCAAGAUUUGUGGUGUAGUUCCUCACACAAAAUUCCCGCUGUCUUCAAGGAUGUUAAAUGAGAUAACUUCAUUCAUCGCUGAGAAAAGGGUCAUCUUCCACGUACGGAUCUGUGCAAAUCUCCAUUCUACAAAAGGCUUCAAUGGGAAAGAUUCUGCAGUCACAUGAACUGCAGUCAGAUGAUGAUGUGGGAACGUGGUUGAGACUUGAGCGUCUCCCCAGGACCUGAGAAACCUUCAGCAUCAUACGUUACAGCAAGGAGGAGCUGAGGGAGAUGUAUGCGUGUUGAAGGGCUGGUGUUUUAGCCAGCUCGGAGAAUAAAGGCACUUCUGGAAUCACUUCUGCUGCUUGAUUGGAAUGAAUUAAUAAUGGUUUUUAAAAAUGUUCUCUGGGAGGUUCUGAGUGAAAGUCACGGGGUGUUUGUGCAGCCAGGAAAAAUGCCUUUGUCCAGCCAAAAAGCAAGGCAGGUCAGUCCAAGCCAAGACUUCCCCUUUCCCAGAAGAAAGAUCUGACUUUUAAGGAACAAUUAUGUCAAAGAGAGUUUCCUCAAAGCACACAGCUCCGGCAGCACAGGGUGACUCAUUUCAGCAUGACAAAAUCACCAUACGUUCAUGCCAGGGGCUGCUGCAGUUCUUUAUCUGUGCAUUUUACAGGCCUGCUGCUUCCUCACCGUCCUUGCACCAGUCCUGCUGCCAAAAGCACAGGGCAAUGCUCUCCUAGGGGUUAAUCAGGCUCGAGGCUGUUGAUAUUACCAGGUCCUGUGCAAAGGGAAGCUCUGCCUCUCCCCAUGCCCUUCAAAACCAGAUUGCAAACCCCUGCAGGUGCACACCCAAGUGUUUGGAUGGGCUUAGCUGCGAGAAGAUUACAAUAUCCCUGAAAGGUAACACUGGAGAUACUGCUGCCCCUCACCCAGAGGGUUAUUUUAGGGCCAGCUCUACAGGAAAACACCAAAUCUGGGUUUUCAGUGUGGGUUUGCUCCUUCUGUGAGCAGGAAGAGCUGGCCAUUGUGUCUGUGCCAGAUGUGUGCUACCAGUGAGGUCCCACAGGAAUUCACAGGAUGAAAUACGAGAUCAAAAGCAAUACAGAACACAGGCAGGUGAUUCUCCUUAAGCAUCUUGCCUAAAGUCCUCACAAAAAGGUCAAUAUUAUGUGGCCUCAGUCCAUUUGGAAAGGCCUAUAAGGAACAAUAAAAAGUGUUUCUACUUUUAACUAGUUUUAUUGCGUAUGAGAUAUAAAUUAAGCAGAUGAAUGUUAUUAGAGAAGCACUCUCCUGAAUACUACAUCCCACUAACUAAAUUAGCAGGAAGUCUUAAAACAUAUAAUCCAAACAUUGCAUUCAUUACGAAGGGGAA
Long non-coding RNA from Meleagris gallopavo (turkey), 1592 nucleotides. RefSeq lists it as uncharacterized. The record is from RefSeq and is a predicted model, not a curated record. NCBI's taxonomy places the organism in Eukaryota, Metazoa, Chordata, Aves, Galliformes, Phasianidae.